RNAcentral lists this long non-coding RNA (758 nucleotides) under Chloebia gouldiae (Gouldian finch). RNAcentral describes it as "Erythrura gouldiae (Gouldian finch) lncRNA (ENSEGOG00005010897.1)". Lineage: Eukaryota; Metazoa; Chordata; Aves; Passeriformes; Passeridae. The record is from RNAcentral.
CUCAUUCCCAGGGGGAUGCAGCACUCCUCAAUGUGAUUUUCCCGCAUUCCCAGGGGGACGCAGCACUCCCUGAUGUGAUUUCCCCGUUCCCAGGGGGAUGCAGCACUCCCUGAUUUAAUUUUCCAUGUUCCCAGGGGGAUGCAGCCCUCAUUCCCCGUUCCCAGGAGGAUGCAGCCCUCAAUCCCCAUUCCCAGGAGGAUGCAGCCCUCAUUCCCCAUUCCCAGGGGAUGCAGCCCUCAUUCCCCAUUCCCAGGGGAUGCAGCCCUCAAUCCCCGUUCCCGGGUGGAUGCAGCCCUCAUUCCCCAUUCCCAGGGGGAUGCAGCCCUCAUUCCCCAUUCCCAGGGGAUGCAGCCCUCACCGAUGCCCAUGUGCCGGCCCUUCCUGCGGGCCAGCGUGUUCUUCCUGCAGCGGGCGCGGGAGUGCACGGUCACGGGCUUGCGGAUGAUCAGCCCAUCCUUGAUCAGCUUCCGGAUCUGCUGCCCUGCGAAAGCACCCGCGGCUCCUGGGGGGCUGCCGGGCCGGCAGGGACCCCUGCUGGGGGGGGGAGAGCACCCAACAGCACGGACAAGGCAGCCCCCACCUCAGUCUCCUCAUCCUCCUCCUCGCAGCCCUGUUCUCCUCACAGCCCUGUUCUCCUCCUCACAGCCCUGUUCUCCUCUUCUCCUCACAGCCCCGUUCUCCUCCUCCUCCUCCUCACAGCCCCGUUCUCCUCCUCCUCACAGCCCCGUUCUCCUCCUCUCCUCACAGCCCCGUUCUCC